GCUGGUGUAGCUCAAUUGGCAGAGCAACUGUCUUGUAAACAGAAGAUUGCAGGUUCGAUGCCUGCCACCAGCC
Molecule: transfer RNA, 73 nt
Filed under: Leptolyngbya sp. Heron Island J
Lineage: Bacteria; Bacillati; Cyanobacteriota; Cyanophyceae; Leptolyngbyales; Leptolyngbyaceae
Rfam family: tRNA
About the family: Transfer RNA (tRNA) molecules are approximately 80 nucleotides in length. Their secondary structure includes four short double-helical elements and three loops (D, anti-codon, and T loops).
Source: Rfam by way of RNAcentral